This is a long non-coding RNA of Saccostrea cuccullata (small rock oyster), 400 nucleotides long. RefSeq lists it as uncharacterized. The transcript is spliced from 3 exons. Lineage: Eukaryota; Metazoa; Mollusca; Bivalvia; Ostreida; Ostreidae. The record is from RefSeq and is a predicted model, not a curated record.
AACAGGAGUUGGUGGAACUUCGGCCCAAACUGGUGCAAACGAGUAAAGAGACCGCGGAGCUGAUAGAGUUCAUCAGCAAAGAGAGCGUGGAGGUCGAGGCUGUCAAAAAGGUGGUAGAGGCCGAUGAAGUGGUGGCCAAUAACGCAGCCAUGGAGGCCAAGGCCAUCAAGGAUGAAUGUGAAGCCAAACUGGCAAUAGCGAUGCCUGCCCUGAAUGCUGCUAUCUCCGCCCUGGACACACUGAAACAGAACGACAUUUCUCUAGUCAAGGCCAUGGCUAACCCCCUAACGGUGUCAAACUCGUCAUGGAGUCUGUCUGCAUCAUGAGGGGCAUCAAGCCAGACAAUAAAGUGGACGCCACUGGUCGAAAAGUUGAGGAUUAUUGGCCUGCAGCUAAAAGG